GGGGAAUGUCUCCUAGAAGAAGGAUAUUCUCAGAGAAAGAAUGCUAUACAGCUAGAGACGCUCAUCAUUAGCUGGGGGUAACUGUAAGUUUGGACAUGCUGAGACAUGCUGGACAAGAGACAGCAUGUAUGUACCUUCUCAUGUUGCUGCUGGCCUACGGGCUUCUUUGGUGGUCCAUUAAAGGCUAAGGGCAUGCUUUUAAAGGUGCUAGAAAGCACCAUGUGGGAGUUUUCACAGACCUGGACAAACAAGUAUCAGUGUGAUCUGAACACAGGAGUAAUUUUGCUAAGAUUAUCACUGUCAGCUUUCAUGAUGAAAGAACCAAAGAGAACUGAAGUACAACUCCUACGCUGCUGAAGCAGUCAGUCAUGUAGUGUGGAAAAAAAGAAAAAAGCACCUGCCACUGGUGGCUACCUCGUUUUUAUAUCCAGCUUCUGCGGUUUUCUCAAGUGUUGAACACUACAAGAAAUUCUCUUAGAGGAACAGAUGUGCUGGAGAGAAGCAAUAAAUACUUUCAAAUUUGAGAGAGGAGCAGUGAGAUAGUUGACGAGAGAUGCAGUAGGACUUCUCCCCUCAUACUCCUCACCCAGAGGAGCUGUUCCUAGCGGUAAGUAAUACAAUGAAGAAGAAUUGGCUGUGCUGAACUUUCAGGUGGAAAUGAGUUUGAAGACUCAAAUCUGGGCAGAUUCAUGGCUAUUUUCCAGGAAGAAAAUGAGAAUAGUAAUUAUGAAGAGCAGACAAGAAAUGAUAAAAAAAAUGAAGAGAUGAACACAACAAACAAGUUGAAGGAAAUAGUAUUACUUAAUUCUGAAAUGGUACAAUAAUCUAACCUCUCAUGAAUUGGAGGUAAGGGGAGGUGGUGAGAGUUCAAAUAGUACAAAAUAAACAGAAGAGUGAGAUGUGAGAUAAGACAAGCAAAAAAAGAAAGACUGUAAUUUUAAGUGACUUCAGAUUCUAACAUGGUUUUUGUUGCCAUUGCAACAGUAGGUAAUAAAUGAAAUGCAGAUGGACACUUAACUAACAACUAUUUCUUGCACAACUACUAGGUCAGUAAUUCAACCUACAUGUGAUUCAAAAUUAAGUCUGAUGCAGAUUCAUGAUCAGAAUAUUUUAAAUCCAACUAACCAGAUCACAGAUCCUAAUGUAAUUACUGUUAAUAUCCCUUGAUACUAAAGGAUGUGUACAAGACCAACAUGCAUGGCUCGAUAUAGACCUAAACUCUCCAGGGGAGAAGAAUGUGAGAUAAAUGUUAGAUCUACCCUGCUGACAGUUACUCUAAUCUGGAAUAUGGCUGCUUACUGUGAUGGAGGUGGAUUUUUUCUUCAAUCAAUGCAUUCUGUAGCAGUACACUUCACCUAGUGUGCUGCUGGAGUUUGGUAGUUUGAAAAAGGUCUUUCUGAAAGUAUGAAGAAGGAACAUGGGGGAACCAUAGCUUUGUUCCCGACAUCUUGCUUUUGAGACAGAUGAGUGUACUAAUUAGUAAAAGGCAUAUUCAGGAAACAGAAAAAGGAAACAAAUUCUGGUUUUGAACACACAAGAUUUAAGAAACUGCUCUCCUCUCCAAAACUUUUCCUUCUCCCCGCAUUCCUAAUUCAGUAGAAUGAGAUACCUAAAUAUGUGCAACAGGGAUCAUUUCCAAUGGAGACAUAUAAAGUGUGGACAGCCCUACUGAUUCAAACAAAUUGAUUCUACAAUGGAUUGGAAUAGAAGAAUUAUAUUUGAAUCCUUAUUUGCUAAAGAGAAGAAGCAGAUAAGCAAGACUUCCAAUUGUCAAACUAUAUUGUUAUAUUAUUAGUAGUAGUAUUCUUAAGUAGGAUUUUCCUUCUCUCCAGAGCUCAUUCUUACCGUUGUUGUUGCUUUUUCAGUGUGUGGUCUUAAUGACAAGUUUGUAACAUUUAUGUUUAUUUGCAUGGCAGGGGCCUGAACUGCCGUAAGAAAGCACAAUAUUUUUAAAGGAGAAUUAAUAGGAGAAGAAGCUGGAUCAUAGAAAAGGAAAUAAAUUAUUCACACUGUCUCAAGCAUCAGAAAAUUAUAUUUAAGAAAUCCUGCAAAGCACAUUAGUCUUUUAACAAAUGCUCUCUUUCUGCAACUUGAUUUUUUUUUCUGUCAUCAGUCUCUGUUUUAUUUCAGAAUAAUACAAUGAAGACUUCACAGUUUUAUAUUCUGACUUAACCCUUCAGAAGUGAAAUGCCACACAAAAACAGAAUGUGAUUGUCAAGAGAAAAGCCAGUCUGAAAGGAAAUAACGUGCUGACUGAUCUUUAGCCUUUUUGAGGUGUGUGGAAAACUUGGACAGAAGAAGCUCCACUUUAUAGGGAUAACUUCAGACACAGAAUCACAGUAUGGUAUGGGUUGGAAAACUUUGCUCCUUUUGAAGGCUUCGAUGGAUACGCGGUCACCUCAGUCCCCAGGGCUUGCACAGCUGCUGGAAGUAACUGAUGGAUGAGCACCUGUUAGAAAGUGGAUCUAUCUGCACGAAUAAUCCUGGAUGUUUAGAUUGUGGUUGGAAGUUGGAGCUAACAGGGCAUCACAAGGCUCUGACAUCGCUCUGCCUACUCAGGACUCCUGUUUUCUGAGAUACCUGUGGCACCUUUAUCACAACUUCACCUUACAGCAGCCACCCUGCACCCUCUGCCAGGGGCUACUGAAGACAUUUCACCUAUGACGGAAUGAGCUCCCUUUUAGGUACAGAAAGGUCACUGUCAGGUCUCCCCAAAGCCUUACCUUCGCCAGGCUGAACAGCCCCAGGAAUCUCAGCCUGCCCACAUAGGAGAGGUGUUCCAACUCUUGGAUUUCUUUUGUGGCUCUCCUCUGGAUGUGCUCCAACAGGUCUGUGUCUCUCCUGUAUUGAGGACUCCACAUCAGGAUGCAAUACUCCAGUGCUCCUUUUCUGAGGACUAUGGGCUAAACUCCAUUAGUGAGCAAAGAUCACUAAAGCUCUGCCACUGAAGUCAGAGCUGCCUUCUGUCAGCAAAGCCAAGAGUUACUUGGAAUUGUAUGGAUGGGGAACAGGAUAGAUCCAGGGAAAAAGAAGUGAAUCUGCGGAGAUUUCUUUUAACUGGAGUAUUGCCCAAGGUGGAUGUUUUGCUGCUGCCCAUGAAAAAUAAGUGUGAUUUUCACCCUCCAGCUGCAAAUAGGAACAAGUAUCAUUUGUAAGGGAGUUGUGGAUCUUUCAUAAUGCAAUGUUGUUUCAGGUGGAUUGACCUAAGCCUGAGAACAUUAAGCUUCCCAUCCUUUCCAGAAGCAAAGGUGUAUUCCAACAGUUCAGACCACUUCAGCUAUUCUUGCAUGAAGAAUGUGCUGAAGAUUAUUUCAUCCUGAAUUUUGUUGUGAUCUAGAAACAUGGAGAAAGAACUACAAGAACAACCACGUUUCUUUUCAGUGAUGUCCUUGUGUAACAUGGAGCUUUUAUUUUAACUUGAAAAUUCAUUCAGGCAUGAUUUAGGGUUAUUGAAGUAGUAAGAUCUGCUAGAAGACAAUGGAAGCAAAAAGAAGAAAUUAGAGCAGAAGAAAAUGAGGAACAGAGAAUGUGGAAAAAUUCCAGGAAUGAGAAAGAGACAGAAAACACAGAAGAAAGGCGGUAUAGACAGAAAAGAAAACUGUCUUUAACUAUUAUUGAGCAGGUAAUCUCUUUCAAAUUCUGGAAGAAAUAGAACCAAAGUUGAUGAGAGGCUUUUCCUUCAAUUAUUUAAGCUGCUUGUUUUUAAAACGCUAAAUGUAUUAGUGUAUGAGAAAACUUUAAAUGAAAAAAAACAUUAAGGAAGACAUGUACAUUGUACUUUAUUUCCUCUUUUUUCCUGUGUAAAAUAAAACAGUUAACGUUAAGAAUAUGAAAAACCUUAUUAAAACAGAUAAAUUUAUGUAAAAAUAUGUAAUUACUUUGAAUUAUUUAAAGUUUGGUUACAGUUUCAAGUUACUUGUUAAUUAUUUAUAUUCUAUACUUAAAUGAUUCCUCUUAUGUAAUGCCCUUGAAUAAUAGAAAUAGUGAUGCAACUUUAGAAUGGAGAUAAAUAACUUUGACUAGUUUAAUUGCUUGAAAUUUUUCUUGGAUUUGUUUUGAAUGCAACAAAUGUUCCCAUGUACUGGCGCUCCCUUUUUUGCCUAGUAUGUUAGGGACUUGAUUCCUCCUCUGAAUGACAAUUUUCCAAUGUCAUGAUACAUGACUGAAGGGAUGGGUGUAUUUAUUCUAUUUUGAUUCAAUUUCAUUUCAUAUCACAUACGUAUGUAUUCAUUCAGGUGAUGUCAGAUGCUACAGUCGUUCCACUUAAUAGAGAAUUGAGAAAUCUGUUUGUAUUCACCAUUACAGUUGCUGCUCCAGACAGAAUCCUAAACACUAUCUUGUAGUGUAUGCAUGAGUGAGCUGCUCUCUGGAUCGUCUGACUCUGCUGUGCUCUGUGAUGUGCUGCAUGUUCAGGGACAACAAUGGGAGUGUGCAACAUUGCUACAUCCACUAAAUUAUAACAUUGUUCUUUGUUUAUGGCCCAGUGGAAAAUUUAAGUGUCUUGUAAAAAGAUGGAACAUAUUCAACAGGAAAUAAUGGAAAUUCUCCCUAAUCCAUGUUUGAUGAUGGAUUAAGCUCUUUCAGAUAAGGAAAGAAAUAUGGGGCUUCCAGCACAGCAAGACGAAUGCUGAACUUAUUGUCCAUUACCAACUCAUGUUCUUGUGAACAUUGCCCACAUCCUCCUCAUUUAUAUUGCUUUCUUUUGCUAUGGCUACCUCAAGCAGUAAAUAAUCAUGUUCCACUACGCAUUUUCUCUGCCCACUACCCAUCUGGGACAAUAAAUAAAAAAAAAAAAACCAACAUAUUUGCUGAGCCAUAAUCUUGACCAAGUUCUUGUUCUUGAUGAUUUGGUUAUUACAAAUGUGUUGUUCUUAUUGAUGCUUGGGGUAAAGUUAUGAAUGCCCUAAAGCUCCUGUCUUCUGGUUUUUCUCUAGGUGCAUAAACAUGCUCAGGAAUGCUAUAAAUAGGGAAGAUAAUUUGUAAGGAAAUUGAAUUUAAGUGUAGUUGAAGCAAAUAGAGGGCAAGCAAGCUAGAAGUUGUGAAUAAAAUGAAAUAAAAAGAGGGAGCUGGCAAGAAAUUGUUAUUUAUUUAUGCAAAUUGCAGUUAAGAUAUUUUCUAAAGUAAGUAGACCUGCUUAUUAUUUUCUGUGACAGAGAUUACAGUUGCUUUUUCCCUUCUGUUCUCUUCUGUUUUUUCUUCUAUUUCUUUUCCUUCUCUUUAUUUUGCCUAGAGUUUUAUCUCCUCGUAGCCUGAGACUUUCAUAUAAUUCUAUUUACCUGUUGUGAAAUAUAUUUGUGUGUUUAUUUAAAAAGUCAAUUCCUUCUGUAACUACAAUAGUAUAGUAAUAAUCUCCUUUAGCUGGAUUUUAAAGUAUUCAUGUAGUCUUGUGAUUUUUUUUUUUAAGCCAGCCUAUAUAGCCAGAUUAUAGCAGAAAUUCUGCUAUAUCUUUCUAUUCUCUGCUGUACUUAUUUCUGUUAGCUGUACUUUGUUUAUCCCUGUAAUUGCAGUCUUCCUCUAAUAACCUCGUUAUUUUGUAGCUUUUUCCUUGUGGUAGUUGUACUCUUCUCUCGAAUUUCUGAAAUGACUGCUUUUUGUCUGAGGAAAUUUGUGUAGAUAUCAUGUUGUCAUAGUUGUCAUAAAGGCAUUACUAAAGGUUAAAUCUAUUUGUCCUGUUGGUAUUUUAUGUAGAAUCUAACUAUAGUUUAGAUCACUUCUGCUAGCUUGAGAGUACAUUUGUGCCGUACUUGGUUAAAACUACCUUUAGUAGCUAGCACUCAAGGGAUAAGUAAUCGAAGCCUUCCAUUUCCUUUUUGCUGUAACUUAUUUUGGCGAGGUUAGUGAGUAUGGUUGAAUACUGUCUUCUGUCUUUUCCAUAUCUGCUGAGAUGUUUAUCUAACAUGAUUUUUGUUCCUGGAGCAGAGCACUUGCAGAGACAGUGCUUUCUAGUGAUGUCAGGAAAAUGACUGAAUGAGAAGAAAGAUUAAUCUCUGGUAUGCUUUAGUGUAGCAUGAGUUGCCUUGAGAGCUCUCACUUGUUCCUGUUAGGUGCUUACGUCUUGAAGUCACAGUGCACAGCUCUAGUGCCCAUAUCAUCAGAGACCUGAAAUCCUUCUAAUGCAGAAACAUGAAAAAAUAGACCAUAUGAAUGUCCUAAAUGAAUUUGAAAAGUACUACGCUCAGUAUAUCAGCAGAGUUUUCAUUUAGAGAUUGAUCACUAAAAGCAGUUUCUUUUUUCUUUGUGAAAUGGAGAAACUAACAAGUUAUGGUUUAUGUAGUUGCAUAGCUUGUGCAAUGCAACACAGGUAGUGCUGCUGUGGAAAGCAAAAUAUUAACCUUUUUUUAUUUUGUGAUGCUUAACAUCUUAGCUUUAAUAUUCUAUUUUCUUUCUUCAAUUUAUUCCCUCAAUGCCUUUGGUGAUCCUCACUUGUCAUGCCAAGUUCCUGCAAACCAUGCAGAUAGUGGCCCAUGCCUUUUAUUCAUCCUGGAAGACACCCAACAUGCUUUUGGGAACUGUAAAAAUAGUACUUUUAAAUUUGACACUGAACAUGGGGCAUGAUUAGCAUCAGCAGCAGAUCCACCACCUGUAUCAUCCAAGUCUGUUUGAUUUCAUAGGUAGCUGCUUUUCAUUCCGUGUCAUAGAAUUCUACUUUUUUGUGCUAUUUUAUACUACGCAGACUUUUUGCUGCCUUGGUUAUCCCAGGGAAUGAGUGUGUUGCACUAAGUGAACAAUCUAGCAUCUGUUAUGCUUUAUCCUUUCUCCCACUACUUCCUUGUGGAGUGAAUAGCAUGUGUGUGAGAUAUAAGGCAUAAAACCUGUAAGAUUUUAUUUUAUAAUUAUAUGCCUAUUUAUUUAUAUGUUAAUUUGUAUAUACUAGUUAUAUAGCCAUCCUCCUCAGAAGUCCAUAGUGUUAGGGGAGGAUAGGCAGAAAAUAUCUAAAAGGAGAAUAAGCUGAAACUUUUUACUGCCAUCAAGGUUUUGUUCUCUUCUAAAUCUCUUCUCUACACGACUAUAUUUUUCCAUUUUGAAAAAUGAAAUUCAAGCUGUUUUAUUCCCUAAAGUGCAUUCAACUAUGAGGGCUAUGCAUGAUUCAGAGCUCUGAAAAUUUCAGCAAUGCUGUUUAAAGGUUAUCCCUGCCUCCUAUUUUUGUAUUAUCACACCAGUUGAUUUGGAUGGAGACAAUACUGACAUAACUGUUUGGGCAGGGUCUCCAGAGCUAUUGUCCCUCACAGCUUUGAAGUUUUUGCAGUACUUAGUUGAUUGAGACUUCAAAUCUUGGAGAGGAUGAUGCAAAACAGUGGUUCUACUGCAGUGCUGGUGAGGGAAUGUUGUGGAAACACACACUUACCUUGUGCCCCAUUCCUCUGCUUUUAGGAAUGCCUACCUCUUCAGUGUGAAUAGGAGAAAUAAAUACCUUCUGUCCAGCAGCGGUUGAUUUUCUGCAUUCUGUUUUGAAUUCUUAAGUAAUCUAAAUUCUCUUCCAGGAAAGGCUUCUAUUGAUAGAAAUAUUUCUGCUGUUGGUUAUCUUUGAGAGGGUAUUACUCUACUAGCCUCUUGUUCUAAACUAGCAGCUAGUAUAGGAAGAGCUGAUGUGGCACAGUCAGCAAUGAAAAUGAACUUGAACGUUCUGUAUUUACAGUUGUCAAUGAGACAUCCGCUUCACCAGUCUGAUUUUCCUUUGCAUGUGCUUUUUCUUCCUGGGACAUGCCUAGUGAUCAAGGUGCUAUUUAUCACUCUCACAGUGCUAGAUAGAACAGCCACAGCAGCAAAGAUCUAGAAUUUAAAAAUGAAGAGAAUGACGGGUAGAUAAGGAUAGAAGGGAAAUCAAAAGUUGAUAACAAAUGCACAAAGUACUUGAACAGGUACUGCAUCACAGCAGUCUCUUAUGGACAACCAAAUUUUUAUCAAAGUUCAAACAGUGAUUUCACAUGCGAACUCUGAGCUGCUGUUUCAAUUUAUCAGAUGAGAUGUAAGAGGGCAACUAGUAAUGGUCUGGUUAGAUAAAGUAUUUCAGUAAUGAGGGCUGCUAUGAAAAUAAUACCUCCUAUUUUAUUAUGUUGGUUCAUUACAUUAAAGGUGGUUGUUGGUAGUAUGACAGUAGAAGCUGCAGGUUCCCACCAGUAUUCCAUUGUAUUUUGUUGCUGUGUGACAGAUGGCAGCAGUGGGGCAAUCUGAUAAAAUGGCAUCUGACAUGGAAGUGUGUAUGAAGCAAAUGUGUAGAAUUGGAUUCCUCCAUGCAGAAAAAAUUGUGCUCAUUGGUAUUCAUCAAAGCUUGCUGUACACUUUUGGAGGCCAAACAGAACGUGAGCACAGUGACAGUGGGUUACCUCCACUGGUGCAGAAUCUUACAAGCACAGCAGACGAGCUCUUGCUCAUUGCUGGUAGAAAAUUCAUAGCUAAUGGUGGUGUCUAUUUUGGAAAAUAGUGUAAAUAGUGUUUUGUACUUUAAAAUUUGCUAUAUCAAAUAGUGUUAUUGUGCUCUUUGUAUCAGUUGUAGUUUCCAUGGAGAAAAAUGGGGGGGCAUUAUUUUUUGAGUGACCUACGUAGUUCUCUGCAUCAGGCUAUAUGAAGGAUAUAAUUACACGAUUUAAUUACAUUUUAUAAAAGAGAUACUUUUUUUACUGUUGUUUUCUUUGGUGUGUGUUUUGAAAUGACAUUUUGUGUUUUUUUACAGGUUUAUGCAGUCUGAGACAGUGAUACAAAUAGCUACUCAGAUUCUGCAGUGUGUACGCUGGGUGAUAUAUGUUAACCUGGUAAAUCAUUGGUUCUUACAACAGGCUGCAAUUUUCUGCAGUGGAGAUUAAGGAUUAAUCCAUGCCAUUGCUCUUCUGAAAAUCAGACUGGGUUAUCAGUGCCAAUUGCUGAAUCAAACCAACUAGCCAAGUAUUAGCAAAUUAUCCUUGGAGGUUAUUUAUACUAUCACUUUGUCAAGCCUGACAGAGAAGUCAUUUAUUUAGCAAUGGAUAUGAUGGCAACUUCUAUUUAAUUUCUUUCCUGUGCUAUGCAGACCUCUUACAACUUAAAUUCUCUGGUGAUGUUUUGUAAAAUGUGCAAAAGUAGCACAGACUCUUGAUUAGAUUCCACUGGCCUAAGGACAAAAAGAGCCUAUUGCUUUUCCCUGUAGCAUGUUUCCCCCUUACUCAUGCAUGGCUUUUGCUAUUACGGCAACCUUCAGUGAUAUUGAAUGUAUUUCCACCAUCUUGGCAUUUCUGGUUUCAAAUGGAGUAGGUUGUUUUUUAUUUCUGGUUAUUUCAUGUGAAUCAUUUUGAAAGGUUGUCAAAUAUAUAUUUUUCUCUCCCAGAUAUACAGUCUGGUGAAUUUUGCAUACCUUUGAAGUCCACAGAGAAAAACUAUUAAAUUACUGUGACUUCUUUGAUAUACGAUAUUUCAUUAAUGGUAAUGAUUGAUACGUAGUAUGUCAUUUUGCUUCUGUAACUUGCUUAGGAUGUGUCUGAAUAAAACACGACAUAGAAGAAAGUCCAUGUUCCUUUCUCUAAUAUCAUUUACCUGCAGAAUAACAUGGGCCACAUUGCUAGGUGGAUAUUGUUUAUUUAAUAAACAUCUGCCUUAAGUUAGUUUAAAGCCAUCUCUAGGGCUUCUAUUAUUAGUUUGCUGGACUUAAAGUUAAUUUUAUUCUUUGGAAAUUUAGGGCAAUUGUACUAGAUGAUCUUUAAAGGUCUCUUCCAACUAGGCUAUUAUUCUGUUGUGUUGUAUCAUAUUGCAUCACACCCUAUCCCAACUUGGUCCCUCUGGUGGCCAUGUCAAUAUUACUCUUUCGAAACAAGCAUGUUUUUUUUGUAUUGUGAAAUUUGCUGUUGGCAUUUUCCAGUUGGAUUUGGUGACCUAUAUAUCAUACAACAAUGUAUAUUUGUAUAUGGUGGAUACACCAGAUUUUCAUACUUUAUCCCAUGCUUAUUGUUUUGAGAGGGCUUUAGAUGAUCAGGGAGAGGCUGAAUUCUCUUUCACUGAUGUAUCAGUAAGUUGGAUUUGAACAAGAAACCUGCUUUAUUUGUAGAAUAGUUUCUAGAAUAGUUUCAGUAGAACUGAUGCACCAGUGUGCUGUAGGUUAAAAGACUUAAGGGAAAUAACUGAACUGUUUUGCAUCAGUUGCAUUGUCUUCUUUUAGCUCUCUGGAGAAUUUUUAGAGCCUUCCCUCUUCCUCCUGCCCUUCACCCCCCCAUCCUCAAGAUAUGUCUGUAAAAGAAUGCUUAGAUAGUUGAAUUCAUUAUGAUAAGAAAGGGUGUUUGUUUCUGCUUGUUUAGCUAUUAUUAACUGAAAAUAAACACUUAAUAUCAGUUGAUUAAGAGGACAAAAUUAAUAAGAUACAAUCCUCCUUUUUUUUUUUUUUUGCUGUUAAAUAUUUGCUGGUCUCCAUUAAGAUGCUGGCUAACAUUUUCUCUUUAUUGGUAAAUGGAAAUUCACACUUAAAGAUCUAGCUCCCCAAACAUAUUCAAUACCGGAUUACCUUAUCUUUGUUUUUGUUGUUGUUU
This is a long non-coding RNA of Gallus gallus (chicken), 10487 nucleotides long. RefSeq lists it as uncharacterized. The record is from RefSeq and is a predicted model, not a curated record. The transcript has 15 exons. Lineage: Eukaryota; Metazoa; Chordata; Aves; Galliformes; Phasianidae.